This 1402-nucleotide ribosomal RNA is filed under the name metagenome. RNAcentral describes it as "bacterial SSU rRNA". It matches the Rfam family "Bacterial small subunit ribosomal RNA". The record is from RNAcentral.
GGCGAACGGGUGAGUAAUGCAUCGGAACGUGCCCAGUAGUGGGGGAUAGCCCGGCGAAAGCCGGAUUAAUACCGCAUACGACCUACGGGUGAAAGCGGGGGACUCGCAAGAGCCUCGCGCUAUUGGAGCGGCCUAUGUCAGAUUAGCUAGUUGGUGGGGUAAAAGCCUACCAAGGCGACGAUCUGUAGCUGGUCUGAGAGGACGACCAGCCACACUGGGACUGAGACACGGCCCAGACUCCUACGGGAGGCAGCAGUGGGGAAUUUUGGACAAUGGGCGCAAGCCUGAUCCAGCCAUGCCGCGUGCGGGAAGAAGGCCUUCGGGUUGUAAACCGCUUUUGUCAGGGAAGAAACGCUCUGGGCUAAUACCCCGGGGUAAUGACGGUACCUGAAGAAUAAGCACCGGCUAACUACGUGCCAGCAGCCGCGGUAAUACGUAGGGUGCAAGCGUUAAUCGGAAUUACUGGGCGUAAAGCGUGCGCAGGCGGUUAUGCAAGACAGAUGUGAAAUCCCCGGGCUCAACCUGGGAACUGCAUUUGUGACUGCAUAGCUAGAGUACGGUAGAGGGGGAUGGAAUUCCGCGUGUAGCAGUGAAAUGCGUAGAUAUGCGGAGGAACACCGAUGGCGAAGGCAAUCCCCUGGACCUGUACUGACGCUCAUGCACGAAAGCGUGGGGAGCAAACAGGAUUAGAUACCCUGGUAGUCCACGCCCUAAACGAUGUCAACUGGUUGUUGGACGGCUUGCUGUUCAGUAACGAAGCUAACGCGUGAAGUUGACCGCCUGGGGAGUACGGCCGCAAGGUUGAGACUCAAAGGAAUUGACGGGGACCCGCACAAGCGGUGGAUGAUGUGGUUUAAUUCGAUUCCAACGCGAAAAACCUUACCUACCCUUGACAUGUCAAGAAUCUUGCAGAGAUGUGAGAGUGCUCGAAAGAGAACUUGAACACAGGUGCUGCAUGGCCGUCGUCAGCUCGUGUCGUGAGAUGUUGGGUUAAGUCCCGCAACGAGCGCAACCCUUGUCAUUAGUUGCUACGAAAGGGCACUCUAAUGAGACUGCCGGUGACAAACCGGAGGAAGGUGGGGAUGACGUCAGGUCCUCAUGGCCCUUAUGGGUAGGGCUACACACGUCAUACAAUGGCCGGUACAGAGGGCUGCCAACCCGCGAGGGGGAGCUAAUCCCAGAAAACCGGUCGUAGUCCGGAUCGCAGUCUGCAACUCGACUGCGUGAAGUCGGAAUCGCUAGUAAUCGCGGAUCAGCUUGCCGCGGUGAAUACGUUCCCGGGUCUUGUACACACCGCCCGUCACACCAUGGGAGCGGGUUCUGCCAGAAGUAGUUAGCCUAACCGCAAGGGGGGCGAUUACCACGGCAGGGUUCGUGACUGGGGUGAAGUCGAAACAAGGCA